Molecule: long non-coding RNA, 199 nt
Filed under: Sorghum bicolor (sorghum)
Lineage: Eukaryota; Viridiplantae; Streptophyta; Magnoliopsida; Poales; Poaceae
Description: long non-coding RNA (SBIC_LNC013075)
Source: RNAcentral
UGCCCGUUGAUUAAUGACUAAUAAAGAUAAUGAUACGACAGAGGGAACCAGCGAAUCAGGCAACCAAUUCCUUCAAUGGCCCAUCAAAGUUGCUGUGCCCGUUGAUUAAUGACUAAUAAAGAUAAUGAUACGACAGAGGGAACCAGCGAAUCAGGCAACCAAUUCCUUCAAGUCCAUUUGACCACCUCGUAGUUCUCUG